UUGACGAAUUGUGCAAAUAAGAAUUUUAUGCCAAAAAAAAACAAUAGAAUAUUCGCCGGUGAGCGCGCGCUGGCGCUGGCGCUGGAUAUGGCACGACUGGAGCGGAGUGCUAACCGGAAUACGGGUAAGUUGGUGGGAGUCGCGGACCGACCGUGUCGUGUUACAGGAAUUGUGUUAGUAAAUAUGUGUAAUUGUAAAUAUGAACAUAUGUAUGAUUGUGAAUGUAUGUUUAAUAUGGAUUUAAUUUGUAUAUUUGUUUGUAAGCAUGUGGGGAACUAUGGUUAUUGGGUAGAUUCGGAAUAUAGAUGUACCAGUAUAUGGAUGAUGCGUAGUGUGCAAGUGUAUAAAUAUUUAAGCAGAUGUACAAAACCGUAUAUUUGUUGUGCGCGGAAACAUGCAAGCGCUUAGAAAAUAUGCUUGUGGUUUGUGGGACAUGCAAGCAUUAACAAAUAUGUAUGUUUGUGGACUAUGCAAGCAUCAAAACAUACGUUUGUUGUAAGUGACGGUGAUUAUGCAGUGAUAGUGCGUUAGGACGGCAAGUCCAGUUGUGUUUUUCACUGGACACUUGUUGCACAUAUGAAUGAACACGUCCCAAGUAUGCCGGUAUGCAAUCGCGAACGGACAGAUUGGUUCUAUACUGCUAAUUCGUGCACUUUAUGUAUUUUUGGUUGAGCUGACCGGCGCGGUAUCAGCCGUAUACGAAUGGGGCCCUUGGAUCAGGGACGGAAAGCGGGAUGCGGAUUCCGUUUUUGGAAGUCGGCGGACAGACCGACAGAAAAAACCAAUAUGGCGAGUCCAACGCCAGGAACAAGCUGGGGCGAACGGAUGGCUGGCACAAAACGAGGAUGAGUAUGGAUGGAGGUGCCUCAAAAGUAUCCGGCUCGAAGGACCAUGUAAAAGUCGGGGGGCGUCGGGGAUAAAAUGUCCAAACUCCAGUACAAGAACAAAAUGGCGGGAUUUUCAGGUUUCAAAGUGCUCUUCUGCACUUACAGCGCUCUGGUCCUUAACUAGCGUGUGGGAGAGAGAGGGCGCUGACGUCAGCCGCGCUGUGCUAGCAGAUGUUGCUAGCGAAUGUUGCUAGCAAACGUUGCCAGCCUGCCAUGCAGGCUACUAGCAGUGCUGCCACGUCAACAACGCGUAUUGUCCUUCUGUUGAUCAAGGCGGGAUCCUAGUGGUCCGGCCUGAUGUUUGGGUGGACACUCGUGGUCCGUUUAAUUAAAGGCACUUGUGGCCCUGCUGCUUCAAGGGACCCUCGUGGUCCAAUAGGUGCGAGUAACAGCGGUUGUCCUGGUUGCGCGAGUGAAACGACACAGGACGUUUGUAGUGACCAAGGAUACCAGAUGGCAAUCCUUGGGAGCAUGUAGUCAACGUGGUAGUCGGCGUGAUAAAGAUCAGCGGUUCCUGACCCAAAGUAACAGGCUGUUCGUUGGUAAUUUGCAUACUGAUUUUAUUCUUACAAAUCAUGGCUUAUAUAGCCAUGCUUAAAACUAGCAUAUGACUAUUUAUAUUUACUAUUUCUAUGUGUUGCGUAAUCUCUGUUGGCUAUGCUUGAGGCAUAUAUAGACAUUGUUUGUCAAUUGCAUUUGAUUCUAAUAA
Molecule: RNA transcript, 1596 nt
Organism: Scaptodrosophila lebanonensis
Lineage: Eukaryota; Metazoa; Arthropoda; Insecta; Diptera; Drosophilidae
Exons: 3
Source: RefSeq, a predicted model, not a curated record